AUCAUAGGGUUUCUGAAAGUGCUGCUCCCUACUCUGAAUUUUAACCAAAUGUUCACUAUCAACUUUUUCAAACUGCCUAAGAAGUAUUGCUGUGUGAUGAUAAAUCAAUUUUAGAGGGCUUACUGAAAUGACAAGAAGAUCCUAGAAUCGUGGCUGAAUAACUAAAGAGCUCUUAUUUAGGAAGAAUAUUCUUAUACAAAAUCAUCCCAAGAAGGAUGAAAGAAUCACCAAAGUACAAGCAUCUGUGAGGUGACACAAAGCCACAACUGUCAACGACUUAGUUCAUUUCUUCCCAGCUUCAAGGAUGACUGUUAGGUAUGAAGUAAAUAUGAAGCUGAGAAACUGUGGUCACCUGGAACCUGCGGGCCUGGAGGAUGGAACUACAUUCCCCCCACAUUGCAAAAAUGACAAAUCUGAGGGAGCUUGAAACAUGGUUCCAGCCAGUAGUUUUGAGAAUGCAAAUACGCACUUUAAGGGGAAACCAAAUUCAAUGCAUUGUACCCCUUAGUGUAGAAAUAUGUCUUAUCUGUCUUUUGAAUGGGUCAGAAACUGAUAAACAGUGCAUAAAGAAA
This is a long non-coding RNA of Ornithorhynchus anatinus (platypus), 572 nucleotides long. RefSeq lists it as uncharacterized. The transcript has 4 exons. The record is from RefSeq and is a predicted model, not a curated record. NCBI's taxonomy places the organism in Eukaryota, Metazoa, Chordata, Mammalia, Monotremata, Ornithorhynchidae.